This 278-nucleotide long non-coding RNA is filed under the name Elaeis guineensis (African oil palm). RNAcentral describes it as "long non-coding RNA (EGUI_LNC021357)". The record is from RNAcentral. Lineage: Eukaryota; Viridiplantae; Streptophyta; Magnoliopsida; Arecales; Arecaceae.
CCAUUUUAAUUUGGUCGUCAACUUUAAAUGCGGAAAAUUUUGAGAAUAAAUGGAAAGAGGAUUUUUACCCCGACCAAAACAGUACAUUAAAAAAAAAAGAAAGAAGGAAAAACAUGCAGCCAAAAUGGAAAGAGCACUUCAUUUUCUUUUGAGCUAUGAAUGGCAGUGGAUCCUCUGUAAGUCAAGUUGUAGGUGCAGGAAUUCUUCAUUUUUGUGAUAAGGAGCAGGAUUUUCUACUUCGUCUCCUAAAAAGUAUGUGUCAAUAUACAUAUAGGUAU